UACGUAGGGUGCAAGCGUUACUCGGAAUUACUGGGCGUAAAGCGUGCGCAGGCGGUUGUGCAAGACCGAUGUGAAAUCCCCGGGCGUAACCUGGGAAUGGCAUUGGUGACUGCACGGCUAGAGUGUGUCAGAGGGGGGUAGAAUUCCACGUGUAGCAGUGAAAUGCGUAGAGAUGUGGAGGAACACCGGUGGCGAAGGCGGCAUCCUGGACCGGCAUUGACGCUGAGGCGCGAAAGCCAGGGGAGCAAACGGG
RNAcentral lists this ribosomal RNA (253 nucleotides) under uncultured bacterium. RNAcentral's name for it is "partial 16S ribosomal RNA". It matches the Rfam family "Bacterial small subunit ribosomal RNA", at positions 524 to 776 of the family's 1533-position model. The record is from RNAcentral.